GACGAACGCUGGCGGCGUGCUUAACACAUGCAAGUCGAACGGAAAGGCCCUGCUUGCAGGGUACUCGAGUGGCGAACGGGUGAGUAACACGUGGGUGAUCUGCCCUGCACUUCGGGAUAAGCUUGGGAAACUGGGUCUAAUACCGGAUAGGAACCAUCUUUAGUGUGGUGGUUGGAAAGUUUUUUCGGUGUAGGAUGAGCUCGCGGCCUAUCAGCUUGUUGGUGGGGUAAUGGCCUACCAAGGCGGCGACGGGUAGCCGGCCUGAGAGGGUGUACGGCCACAUUGGGACUGAGAUACGGCCCAGACUCCUACGGGAGGCAGCAGUGGGGUAUAUUGCACAAUGGGCGCAAGCCUGAUGCAGCGACGCCGCGUGGGGGAUGAAGGCCUUCGGGUUGUAAACUCCUUUCGCUAGGGACGAAGCGUUGUUGUGACGGUACCUAGAUAAGAAGCACCGGCUAACUACGUG
This 466-nucleotide ribosomal RNA is filed under the name uncultured bacterium. RNAcentral describes it as "partial 16S ribosomal RNA". It matches the Rfam family "Bacterial small subunit ribosomal RNA", at positions 28 to 507 of the family's 1533-position model. The record is from RNAcentral.